UACGUAGGGUCCGAGCGUUGUCCGGAAUUAUUGGGCGUAAAGGGCUCGUAGGCGGUUUGUCGCGUCGGGAGUGAAAACACCGGGCUUAACUCGGUGCUUGCUUUCGAUACGGGCAGACUGGAGGUAUGCAGGGGAGAACGGAAUUCCUGGUGUAGCGGUGAAAUGCGCAGAUAUCAGGAGGAACACCGGUGGCGAAGGCGGUUCUCUGGGCAUUACCUGACGCUGAGGAGCGAAAGCGUGGGUAGCGAACAGG
Molecule: ribosomal RNA, 253 nt
Filed under: uncultured bacterium
Lineage: Bacteria
Description: partial 16S ribosomal RNA
Rfam family: Bacterial small subunit ribosomal RNA
Source: RNAcentral